CAAUGUUAGUUGGACGCUUGACUUCAGACCGUGAGGAUCGGUGGAAAAAAACGAAACGAACGAAAAAAAAUAUCAUUGCAAAAGCAACUGCAAAAGCUACCAAUUGUGCAACAAAUUAAAAUUAUCUCAAAAACGCAGAUUGAAAAAUGCCAAAAUAAACAAAGCGCGACAAUCAAAAUUUGUAAUUAUUUAAAUAUUUUGUUCAACAUUGAAAUAUUACAAAUUUACAUGUCACAACAAUACCCUUAAUAUUUAAAAAUUAAAAAAAAGAAAAACUAAAAUAAAUCAUUUGAAGGGUGUGGUGGCCAAGAGCGUGAAGGAGCUGGAAGUUUAUUUGUUUUUACAUUGAAGCUUUUUUAAUUUUUAUUUUAAGCAUGGACUUUACAAUUUUGAUCCAUUUGAUUUUCAUAAUCCAUUAUUUUAAGCAUAGAAUUGACAAUUGUGAUCCAUUUCAUUUUCCCAAUCCAGUACAAUGUAAACGUAGUAUUAUUGUUUGUCUUAUCUGAUUAUUUCAUGUCUUUCCCAUACAAGGAAAUGUCAUCACAUCUGUUACAGUUAACAAUUUCUCCAACCGUCAAAUUGAAAGGGUCACCAAUAACGGCAUUUC
Long non-coding RNA from Musca domestica (house fly), 607 nucleotides. RefSeq lists it as uncharacterized. The record is from RefSeq and is a predicted model, not a curated record. The transcript is spliced from 2 exons. Lineage: Eukaryota; Metazoa; Arthropoda; Insecta; Diptera; Muscidae.